UGAGGUAAAUACGGUUGGAAUUUUGUCUUUUAACUAUAAAUCCAACCGAAUUUGGCUCGGC
Molecule: microRNA precursor, 61 nt
Filed under: Drosophila melanogaster (fruit fly)
Lineage: Eukaryota; Metazoa; Arthropoda; Insecta; Diptera; Drosophilidae
Description: Dme-Mir-984_pre stem-loop
Source: RNAcentral